Molecule: ribosomal RNA, 1369 nt
Filed under: uncultured bacterium
Lineage: Bacteria
Description: bacterial SSU rRNA
Rfam family: Bacterial small subunit ribosomal RNA
Source: RNAcentral
GACGAACGCUGGCGGCGUGCCUAAUACAUGCAAGUAGAACGCUGAAGAGAGGAGCUUGCUCUUCUUGGAUGAGUUGCGAACGGGUGAGUAACGCGUAGGUAACCUGCCUUGUAGCGGGGGAUAACUAUUGGAAACGGUAGCUAAUACCGCAUAACAAUGGAUGACACAUGUCAUUUAUUUGAAAGGGGCAAUUGCUCCACUACAAGAUGGACCUGCGUUGUAUUAGCUAGUAGGUGAGGUAACGGCUCACCUAGGCGACGAUACAUAGCCGACCUGAGAGGGUGAUCGGCCACACUGGGACUGAGACACGGCCCAGACUCCUACGGGAGGCAGCAGUAGGGAAUCUUCGGCAAUGGGGGCAACCCUGACCGAGCAACGCCGCGUGAGUGAAGAAGGUUUUCGGAUCGUAAAGCUCUGUUGUAAGUCAAGAACGAGUGUGAGAGUGGAAAGUUCACACUGUGACGGUAGCUUACCAGAAAGGGACGGCUAACUACGUGCCAGCAGCCGCGGUAAUACGUAGGUCCCGAGCGUUGUCCGGAUUUAUUGGGCGUAAAGCGAGCGCAGGCGGUUUGAUAAGUCUGAAGUUAAAGGCUGUGGCUCAACCAUAGUUCGCUUUGGAAACUGUCAAACUUGAGUGCAGAAGGGGAGAGUGGAAUUCCAUGUGUAGCGGUGAAAUGCGUAGAUAUAUGGAGGAACACCGGUGGCGAAAGCGGCUCUCUGGUCUGUAACUGACGCUGAGGCUCGAAAGCGUGGGGAGCGAACAGGAUUAGAUACCCUGGUAGUCCACGCCGUAAACGAUGAGUGCUAGGUGUUGGAUCCUUUCCGGGAUUCAGUGCCGCAGCUAACGCAUUAAGCACUCCGCCUGGGGAGUACGACCGCAAGGUUGAAACUCAAAGGAAUUGACGGGGGCCCGCACAAGCGGUGGAGCAUGUGGUUUAAUUCGAAGCAACGCGAAGAACCUUACCAGGUCUUGACAUCCCGAUGCUAUUUCUAGAGAUAGAAAGUUACUUCGGUACAUCGGUGACAGGUGGUGCAUGGUUGUCGUCAGCUCGUGUCGUGAGAUGUUGGGUUAAGUCCCGCAACGAGCGCAACCCCUAUUGUUAGUUGCCAUCAUUCAGUUGGGCACUCUAGCGAGACUGCCGGUAAUAAACCGGAGGAAGGUGGGGAUGACGUCAAAUCAUCAUGCCCCUUAUGACCUGGGCUACACACGUGCUACAAUGGUUGGUACAACGAGUUGCGAGUCGGUGACGGCAAGCUAAUCUCUUAAAGCCAAUCUCAGUUCGGAUUGUAGGCUGCAACUCGCCUACAUGAAGUCGGAAUCGCUAGUAAUCGCGGAUCAGCACGCCGCGGUGAAUACGUUCCCGGGCCU